This 528-nucleotide ribosomal RNA is filed under the name uncultured bacterium. RNAcentral's name for it is "bacterial SSU rRNA". It matches the Rfam family "Bacterial small subunit ribosomal RNA", at positions 18 to 518 of the family's 1533-position model. The record is from RNAcentral.
CCUGGCUUAGGACGAACGCUGGCGGCGUGCCUAAUACAUGCAAGUCGAACGGUCUUUCUAUGGAAGCUUGCUUCCACUGAGAAGAUAGUGGCGAACGGGUGAGUAACACGUGGGUAACCUGCCCAUAAGAGGGGGAUAACAUCCGGAAACGGGUGCUAAUACCGCAUAGUUUUCUUGAUUGCAUGAUUGAGAAAGGAAAGACGGCCUUUGUGCUGUCGCUUAUGGAUGGACCCGCGGCGUAUUAGUUAGUUGGUGAGGUAACGGCUCACCAAGACGAUGAUACGUAGCCGACCUGAGAGGGUGAUCGGCCACAUUGGGACUGAGACACGGCCCAAACUCCUACGGGAGGCAGCAGUAGGGAAUCUUCCGCAAUGGACGAAAGUCUGACGGAGCAACGCCGCGUGAGUGAAGAAAAGGUUUUCGGAUCGUAAAACUCUGUUGUCAGAGAAGAACAAGUUGGAGAGUAACUGCUCCAGCCUUGACGGUAUCUGACCAGAAAGCCACGGCUAACUACGUGCCAGCAGCCGC